AUCUAUCUAUCUAUUUAUUUAUUUAUUUUCUUGGAAUAACAAGAGACACAGCAGCAAGGAUAGCUCCUGUAUUCUACCAAGUUUCCUGACCAAUUUCCCGCCUCUCAAUGAAGACACUGAAUACCAGGUAGAAGAGGAACUCAGAUCCCAAAAGUUUGAAUGGAUUAAGAAAGAUGUACAGAUGAGUGACAGAAGAUACUGAAGCUGUAUGCCUGGGUCAACAUUUUGCUCAUCUGACACCUUGAUCUCUACCCAUGCUUGUUUGGCAUCCACAGGGUGAUAGCCUUCCCUUGGGUAUACUAACUUGUGUGUUCUCAAAGCACUAGCAAGAUGCUAAUAUAAAAAUGUAGCAAGUGAGGCCAGGGUGUUACUCUACCAGGAGCCUAUGAUGACACAUGGACUUCUGACAUGAACUUCUUCAACAGAAGGACUACCUACCUGAAAAAUCUAGUCACCUAUGCAUGAUAGUAAGCAAACAUAAUAUGCAAAAUAAAGAGGGACACCACCCUGUGCUAACUGGAACA
RNAcentral lists this long non-coding RNA (524 nucleotides) under Mus spicilegus (steppe mouse). Its description in RNAcentral is "lncRNA (ENSMSIG00000024213.1)". The record is from RNAcentral. Lineage: Eukaryota; Metazoa; Chordata; Mammalia; Rodentia; Muridae.